This 315-nucleotide ribosomal RNA is filed under the name uncultured eukaryote. RNAcentral describes it as "partial 18S ribosomal RNA". It matches the Rfam family "Eukaryotic small subunit ribosomal RNA", at positions 1470 to 1796 of the family's 1831-position model. The record is from RNAcentral.
CCCUUAGAUGUUCUGGGCUGCACGCGCGCUACACUGACGCACGCAACAGGUGCCUGCUCCGAGAGGACUGGGUAAUCAUUUGAGUGUGCGUCGUGAUGGGGAUAGAAUAUUGUAAUUAUUACUCUUCAACGAGGAAUUCCUAGUAAGCGCCAGUCAGCAGCUUGCGCUGAUUACGUCCCUGCCCUUUGUACACACCGCCCGUCGCUCCUACCGAUGGGUGAUCCGGUGAAUGAUUCGGACUUCAGCGGCCCCCCUGGGGUGCGCCGGAGAAAGUUUUGUGAACCUUAUCACUUGGAGGAAGGAGAAGUCGUAACA